This 256-nucleotide ribosomal RNA is filed under the name uncultured bacterium. Its description in RNAcentral is "partial 16S ribosomal RNA". It matches the Rfam family "Bacterial small subunit ribosomal RNA", at positions 519 to 774 of the family's 1533-position model. The record is from RNAcentral.
GGUAAUACGAAGGGGGCUAGCGUUGUUCGGAUUUACUGGGCGUAAAGCGUGCGUAGGUGGUUUGUUAAGUCUGAUGUGAAAGCCCUGGGCUCAACCUGGGAAUGGCAUUGGAAACUGGCUGACUGGAGUGCGGUAGAGGGUAGUGGAAUUCCUGGUGUAGCAGUGAAAUGCGUAGAUAUCAGGAGGAACAUCCGUGGCGAAGGCGGCCACCUGGACCAGUACUGACACUGAGGCACGAAAGCGUGGGGAGCAAACA